Stegostoma tigrinum is the source of this 82-nucleotide non-coding RNA. Lineage: Eukaryota; Metazoa; Chordata; Chondrichthyes; Orectolobiformes; Stegostomatidae. The record is from the annotation of a RefSeq genome assembly.
GUAGUCGUGGCCAAGUGGUUAAGGUGAUGGAUUUGAAAACCAUUGGGGUUCCCCUGCACAGGUUCGAAUCCUGUUGGUUACA